AAGGUCGGCCAAAGGCGGAAAUAUCGCUAAUCCGGUCAGGGCCGAGAGGCAGCAGCCGCACCGAAUUUUUUCCGGGUUUUGCGUCCGGCCUUCCA
RNAcentral lists this signal recognition particle RNA (95 nucleotides) under Micavibrio aeruginosavorus. RNAcentral describes it as "signal recognition particle sRNA small type". It matches the Rfam family "Bacterial small signal recognition particle RNA". From Rfam's summary of the family: The signal recognition particle (SRP) is a universally conserved ribonucleoprotein involved in the co-translational targeting of proteins to membranes. The record is from RNAcentral. Lineage: Bacteria; Pseudomonadati; Bdellovibrionota; Bdellovibrionia; Bdellovibrionales; Pseudobdellovibrionaceae.